RNAcentral lists this small nucleolar RNA (154 nucleotides) under Olea europaea subsp. europaea. RNAcentral describes it as "small nucleolar RNA snoR135". It matches the Rfam family "small nucleolar RNA snoR135". The record is from Rfam by way of RNAcentral. Lineage: Eukaryota; Viridiplantae; Streptophyta; Magnoliopsida; Lamiales; Oleaceae.
ACAGCAGAGAUUGUGUGUAUCGACGUUGUGCAAUAUGAAAUUAAUGCACUUUGUUCGAAAGAGUUCUCUGCAAUACUGAUUUUUAAUGGGGAAGGUGGGCAGUUGUGUUUCAAUUCUUCCGUUGAAUCCUUCAACAAUCAUCUUCCCCACAUUC